Molecule: microRNA precursor, 65 nt
Organism: Dipodomys ordii (Ord's kangaroo rat)
Lineage: Eukaryota; Metazoa; Chordata; Mammalia; Rodentia; Heteromyidae
Source: Ensembl
CUAGAAUCCUUGGAACCUAGGUGUGAGUGCUGUUUCAGUGCAACACACCUAUUCAAGGAUUCAAA